This 947-nucleotide ribosomal RNA is filed under the name fungal endophyte. RNAcentral describes it as "eukaryotic LSU rRNA". The stretch from base 601 to 947 matches the Rfam family "Eukaryotic large subunit ribosomal RNA", at positions 1 to 343 of the family's 3401-position model. Lineage: Eukaryota; Fungi. The record is from RNAcentral.
GUGCGGAGAGAUCCUCUCAGGAGGCAAAUCCGCAGCUCCUACCCGGAGUUCAGAGGCUCAAUGAGUGUGGGUUCACCGAGCGUGAGCUUGAGAUAGAGUCCGUCCCCGCUGGCAACUGCUGGGAGUUAACGGAACCUGCGGAAGGAUCAUUAAAGAAUACAAGGCUCUCGAGCCCUAUUCUCACCCUUUGUUUAUUAACUUUGUUGCUUUGGCAGGCCUCCGGCUUCGGCUGGGUCGCGUCUGUCAGAGGCCUAACUCUUGAAUCUCUGCUGUCUGAGUACUAUCUAAUAGUUAAAACUUUCAACAACGGAUCUCUUGGUUCUGGCAUCGAUGAAGAACGCAGCGAAAUGCGAUAAGUAAUGUGAAUUGCAGAAUUCAGUGAAUCAUCGAAUCUUUGAACGCACAUUGCGCCCUCUGGUAUUCCGGGGGGCAUGCCUGUUCGAGCGUCAUUACAACCCUCAAGCUCUGCUUGGUGUUGGGCUCGCCCUGUAGGGCCUGCCUCAAAGUCAGUGGCGGCACCGUCUGACCCUAAGCGUAGUACUACUCGCCGCUUCUGGAAUCGGUCGGCUGCCUGCCAACCUAACCCCCACCAUCAAGGUUGACCUCCGGAUCAGGUAGGGAUACCCGCUGAACUUAAGCAUAUCAAUAAGCGGAGGAAAAGAAACCAACAGGGAUUGCCUCAGUAACGGCGAGUGAAGCGGCAACAGCUCAAAUUUGAAAGCUGGCUCCUUUGGGGGCCCGCGUUGUAAUUUGUAGAGGAUGCUUCGGGUGCGGCGCCGGUCUAAGUUCUUUGGAACAAGACGUCAUAGAGGGUGAGAAUCCCGUAUGUGACUGGUUGCCUGUGCCCGUGUGAAGCUCCUUCGACGAGUCGAGUUGUUUGGGAAUGCAGCUCUAAAUGGGUGGUAAAUUUCAUCUAAAGCUAAAUAUUGGCCAGAGACCGAUAGCGC